AGAGUUUGAUCAUGGCUCAGGACGAACGCUGGCGGCACGCUUAACACAUGCAAGUCGAACGAGAGAAGAGGAGCUUGCUUUUCUGAUCUAGUGGCGGACGGGUGAGUAACACGUGAGCAAUCUGCCUUUCAGAGGGGGAUACCGAUUGGAAACGAUCGUUAAUACCGCAUAACAUAAUUGAACCGCAUGAUUUGAUUAUCAAAGAUUUAUCGCUGAAAGAUGAGCUCGCGUCUGAUUAGCUAGUUGGUAAGGUAACGGCUUACCAAGGCGACGAUCAGUAGCCGGACUGAGAGGUUGAUCGGCCACAUUGGGACUGAGACACGGCCCAGACUCCUACGGGAGGCAGCAGUGGGGAAUAUUGCACAAUGGAGGAAACUCUGAUGCAGCGAUGCCGCGUGAGGGAAGAAGGUUUUAGGAUUGUAAACCUCUGUCUUCAGGGACGGAAAAAGACGGUACCUGAGGAGGAAGCUCCGGCUAACUACGUGCCAGCAGCCGCGGUAAUACGUAGGGAGCGAGCGUUGUCCGGAAUUACUGGGUGUAAAGGGAGCGUAGGCGGGAUCGCAAGUCAGAUGUGAAAACUAUGGGCUUAACCCAUAAACUGCAUUUGAAACUGUGGUUCUUGAGUGAAGUAGAGGUAAGCGGAAUUCCUAGUGUAGCGGUGAAAUGCGUAGAUAUUAGGAGGAACAUCAGUGGCGAAGGCGGCUUACUGGGCUUUAACUGACGCUGAGGCUCGAAAGCGUGGGGAGCAAACAGGAUUAGAUACCCUGGUAGUCCACGCCGUAAACGAUGAUUACUAGGUGUGGGGGGACUGACCCCUUCCGUGCCGCAGCAAACGCAAUAAGUAAUCCACCUGGGGAGUACGACCGCAAGGUUGAAACUCAAAGGAAUUGACGGGGGCCCGCACAAGCAGUGGAGUAUGUGGAUUAAUUCGAAGCAACGCGAAGAACCUUACCAGGUCUUGACAUCGUAUGCAUAGCUCAGAGAUGAGUGAAAUCUCUUCGGAGACAUAUAGACAGGUGGUGCAUGGUUGUCGUCAGCUCGUGUCGUGAGAUGUUGGGUUAAGUCCCGCAACGAGCGCAACCCUUAUCUUUAGUAGCCAGCGAGUAAAGUCGGGCGCUCUAGAGAGACUGCCGGGGAUAACCCGGAGGAAGGUGGGGAUGACGUCAAAUCAUCAUGCCCCUUAUGACCAGGGCUACACACGUGCUACAAUGGCGUAAACAAAGGGAAGCGACCCUGUGAAGGCAAGCGAAUCCCAAAAAUAACGUCCCAGUUCGGAUUGUAGUCUGCAACUCGACUACAUGAAGCUGGAAUCGCUAGUAAUCGCGAAUCAGCAUGUCGCGGUGAAUACGUUCCCGGGUCUUGUACACACCGCCCGUCACACCAUGGGAGUCGGAAAUGCCCGAAGUCGGUGACCUAACCGAAAGGAAGGAACCGCCGAAGGCAGGUCUGGUAACUGGGGUGAAGUCGUAACAAGGUA
RNAcentral lists this ribosomal RNA (1477 nucleotides) under metagenome. RNAcentral's name for it is "bacterial SSU rRNA". It matches the Rfam family "Bacterial small subunit ribosomal RNA". The record is from RNAcentral.